UUUUUUUUUUCUUUUUUUGAGACGGAGUCUUGCUCUGUUGCUCAGGCUGGAGUGCAGUUGUGCCAUCUCAGCUCACUGCAACCUCCGCCUCCUGGGUUCAAGCGAUUCUUCUCAAGUAGCUGGAUUACAGCCGACUGCCACCAUGCCCGGCUGAUUUUUGUAUUUUUAGUAGACACGGGGUUUCACCAGGUUGGCCAGGUUGGUCUCAAACUCCUGACCUCAGGUGAUUCACCUGCCUUGACCUCCCAAAGUGCCGGGAUUACAGGCAUGAGCCACCACGCCCAGACUCUCUCUCUUAUACAGGGUCUCACUCUGUCACCCAGGCUGGAGUGCAGUGGUGCCAUCAUGACUCAUCACAGCCUUGAUUCCCUGAGCUCAAGUGAUCCUCCAGCCUCAGCCUCUGGAGGAGGUGGGACUACAGGUGCACGCCAUCACACCUGGCGAAUUUUUAAAAUUUUUUGUAGAAAUGGGUCUCACUAUAUUUCCCAGGCUAGUCUCAAACUCCUGGCCUCAAGUGAUCCUCCCAAAAUGCUGGGAUUACAGGUGUGAGCCACCAUGCCUGGCCUCAUUUAUGUCUUUGGAAGAACAAAGCCCCCAUGUCAUGGCUGUUCCAUGUUCUUGCAGGUCUCCAUGUAUCCUUCAUCUUUCCAGCCCAAACAUUCUGUUCAGCAGUCAGGUUUCUCAAGAUACUGAAAUUUUACAUCCUUCUUACUUCCAUUUCUGCUCCUCCUUCUUUAAUUUCCCACCUGCCUUCAUUUCCUCCUUUAUUUCACCUUUAGGGUUCUCUGGUAGUAAUACAAUGGCUCUCAGUAGCCACUUCUGCUUACAGGAGAGGGCUGUGUUACCUUCCCACACCACACAUUACUUCUCACUUAAGGGUUAAGCAUGACAUCUCUCAGGUCCAACAUCCUCCACUCCUAUCAUACAACAGGGGCACAAUUUGUAUCAGUCACUAGGAUCUUUCAAUAAAAUGGAGAGAGCUGCUUGCUGGAAAGUCUUAAUUUCAUUGAAAAGCAUGGUUUAACAUUAAUAGAGUUUGCAUAUACAACAUAAAUCAACUCAGGAAAGGAGGCCCUCUUCUCCCCAACUGCUUUACACAUUUCAGCAGUGUGUAAAACACACAACCUGUCAUAAUUAAUUUUAAGCAAAGAGAAUUAAUUCCAAAAGACUAAAAUUUUGAUUAAAUAGCAACAAAAAUCCAAUGCUGUAGUACUGGGAGUGGAUGGAUGUAGCUACACAGAUCUUGGUUACAGAAGGUCACAUGCUUUUAUUUUGUUUCACACCAGAUUUAUGGAGGAUCUACUAUGUACAGACAUCACAUAGUAGGUACUAGUGGGCAGGAGGUGGAGGGGAACAUAUACUUGCCCUUGUUUUCCAGGGUGGCUGGGCAUGAGCACCAACAUAUAAAUGUCAUGGAGCCUGGGUUUCAGCGGCCUUAAAGUUUUGAACUGGGAACCUGAGGAUAUGGUUGGAGUGGGGCUGGGGACCAGAGAGCUAGCUGGUUGGAAGGUCAGACAUACAUCUAAUACUCUACAGUUACUAACACAUUCCUUUCUGUUAUUACUUUUGAUUUUUCUUUUUUUUUCUUUUUUUGAGACAGAGUCUCGCUCUUGUCGCCCAGGCUGGAAUGCAAUGGCACGAUCUCGGCUCACCGCAACCUCCACUUCCCAGAUUCAAGCGAUUCUCCUGCCUCAGCCUCCCAAGUAGCUAGGAUUACCGGAAUGUGCCACCUCGCCCAGCUAAUUUUGUAUUUUUAGUAGAGACAAAGUUUCUCCAUGUAGGUGA
Molecule: long non-coding RNA, 1785 nt
Filed under: Macaca fascicularis (crab-eating macaque)
Lineage: Eukaryota; Metazoa; Chordata; Mammalia; Primates; Cercopithecidae
Description: lncRNA (ENSMFAG00000056100.1)
Source: RNAcentral